Molecule: ribosomal RNA, 551 nt
Filed under: uncultured bacterium
Lineage: Bacteria
Description: bacterial SSU rRNA
Rfam family: Bacterial small subunit ribosomal RNA
Source: RNAcentral
UGGGGAAUCUUCCGCAAUGGGCGAAAGCCUGACGGAGCAACGCCGCGUGAGUGAAGACGGCCUUCGGGUUGUAAAGCUCUGUUAUACGGGACGAAUAGUCUUAUGGUUAAUACCCAUGAGAAGUGACGGUACCGUAAGAGAAAGCCACGGCUAACUACGUGCCAGCAGCCGCGGUAAUACGUAGGUGGCAAGCGUUGUCCGGAAUUAUUGGGCGUAAAGGGCGCGCAGGCGGCUUCUUAAGUCUGUCUUAAAAGUGCGGGGCUUAACCCCGUGAUGGGAUGGAAACUGGGAAGCUCAGAGUAUCGGAGAGGAAAGCGGAAUUCCUAGUGUAGCGGUGAAAUGCGUAGAUAUUAGGAGGAACACCAGUGGCGAAAGCGGCUUUCUGGACGAAAACUGACGCUGAGGCGCGAAAGCCAGGGGAGCGAACGGGAUUAGAUACCCCGGUAGUCCUGGCCGUAAACGAUGGGUACUAGGUGUAGGAGGUAUCGACCCCUUCUGUGCCGGAGUUAACGCAAUAAGUACCCCGCCUGGGGAGUACGGCCGCAAGGUUG